GUCUUAAUUUACCAAUUUUUAUUUUUAUUAAAUUUAACCAAUUAAAAUCUUUAGAAAUUUAUUUACUUUAAAUAUUAAGUAUUAAUACACACUAUUAGAAUUUAAAAUCACUGAAGUAUUAUAAAAUACUUUUUUUUUUCCUCCAGGCUGCAACAUAACAUCAAUAUCAUCACCCACUGCAUCAUCUCUCCUAGUGAAAUGGAACUAUUUUGCAGGAGCGACAAACUAUAUUCUGGAUGUCAGGGCUGUGAAUGCAACCAACACAGCACCUAUCAUUAUUACACUCUCUGCGUCCACUGUGGAGCGACUGGUCCAAGGCUUAAGACCUGGACAGAUUUAUCUAGUGACUUUUAAAGUGUUUGUGCUCAAUUAUAUUACAUGCAUCAACUCCCAGACAGUACAGACAAGUAAGUUAUUGACCCACACAUAUCUUAUUGAAUUUCUGGACUUGUUACAUUGUUUAUUAAAUUAAUGUCAUUUGUGCAUGCAGUUCCUGCCACGUCACAAAUAACAUAUUCAAAGGCAAUAUCAAGCACCUCCAUCAGGUUUGAGUGGUCCAGUGCACAAGGAGCCGAUAAUUACAUUUUGGUGGUGAAUGGAACUUUCCAUCCUGAGACUCAGAACUUCACAUUUACCUCGCUAAGUGGACAGAUAGACAACCUCCAGCGAGCCACUUCGUACAGCUGUUACAUUUAUUCUGCCAAUUCUGCAGGACUCAGCGCCAAAAGCCUUGUCAGAACCAUCAGAACAUUGGUGCAGCCACCAGAUAAUGUGACUGUGAGCAAGUUAACGCAGACUACGGCUCGUGUAACAUGGAACAUCGUCUCAGGUGUCCUGCUUUACCAGCUUUCAGUCAUUGCCAAUAACAAGCCCGGAGUUCUCCCGGUUAUUAAAAACGUCACUAGUACCGAUGUGAAUAUCUCAAACCUGGAGCCGUGUACAACAUACACAAUAGGGGUUGCAUCUAUCAACAUGUUCCUUGAACCAGGAGAGUCCAAUAAUGUCACCUACUCAACUUCCACUAUUGGAACAGUUUCCUCCAUCUCUGUGGAGUACAACUGUCUUACUUCUACGGAAACGAUUAGUUGGGAUGCGGUUUUUGGUGCCACGUCGUACCGCGCCGUCAUUACAGAUGGUCAAGGCCGGUCGCUCAAUUGCUCUUCAACGGACACCUCCUGCCAGAUCUCGAAUCUGGUCUGUGGAGAACGGUACACUGUGCGGAUUACAGCCAUCGCUAACUGUGAAAGCACUUCCAACGGCAGCUACUUCUUCGAGACAGGUAAAGACGCCCUUUCUCAAAGGUCACGCUCACACCUGAUCCAGUCCUCCGAGAGGUGUGCAGGAAAUCCUGUCGUGGUGUAGCAAGUCUGGAGAGGAAAACACCCAAGAAUUACUAUCAUGUAGAUUAAAUUAGCUUUACGGUCCAUUGAGGCAGAUAUUUUUUCUGGAAGUUCAUGUGGUAUCAAGUAGCAGAGUCCUAAUUUAGCCCUUAAAGUUAGUAAAUCUACCUGCCUUCUCUAAGAUUAUCUUUCUCAGGUUGUUUUUUAUCUACUCUCCACCCAAAAUUGAAACUUCAAAACUCUGUCAUCAUUAAUCAUUAAUCAUGUAUGACUUUCUUUGUUCUGCAGAAGAUAUUUUCAUUUCUGGAUGAACUGUCAAUUUAAACCAAAAUGGAAUUGUAUAUUUCACCAGCAAAUGCAUUUCUUUUCCCCUUCUCUCAAACUAAUAGCACCAUGCCCACCCAAAGCGCCAAAAGUGUACCGCGAGUGCUCCACUAAUGUCAUCUUGUUCUCAUGGGAGCCCACCAACAACACAGCUUAUUACUUCG
This is a long non-coding RNA of Carassius auratus (goldfish), 1828 nucleotides long. The record is from Ensembl. NCBI's taxonomy places the organism in Eukaryota, Metazoa, Chordata, Actinopteri, Cypriniformes, Cyprinidae.